GUCCCAUGAUAAAUAUGGGUUAGAGUCCCAUGAUAAGUAUGGGUUAGAGUCCCAUGAUAAGUACGGGUUAGAGUCCCAUGAUAAGUACGGGUUAGAGUCCCAUGAUAAGUUUGGGUUAGAGUCCCACGUUAAGUUUGGGUUAGAGUCCCAUAUAAAGUUUGGGUUAGAGUCCCAUAUAAAGUUUGGGUUAGAGUCCCAUAUAAAGUUUGGGUUAGAGUCCCAUGUUAAGUUUGGGUUAGAGUCCCAUAUUAAGUUUGGGUUAGAGUCCCAUGUUAAGUUUGGGUUAGAGUCCCAUGUUAAGUUUGGGUUAGAGUCCCAUACUAAGUCUGGGUUAGAGUCCCACGUUAAGUUGUAUAAGAGAAACAUUUAUAUUUUCUGGGUUAGAGUCCCAUCUUGUCAGUAACUUGUAUAUAGUGGGUAUAGCAGUCCCACUGAGUGACCACAUUUAGUCACUGUAUUGAAUGCACAGUUUGGACACAGUAGAAUAAAUCUUAUUUUUGUUUAUUGCAGCGCUGCAUGUAUAGUUGUAUUGUUUAAAA
Molecule: non-coding RNA, 539 nt
Organism: Pelobates cultripes (western spadefoot toad)
Lineage: Eukaryota; Metazoa; Chordata; Amphibia; Anura; Pelobatidae
Source: the annotation of a GenBank genome assembly